This 378-nucleotide ribosomal RNA is filed under the name uncultured Planctomycetota bacterium. Its description in RNAcentral is "bacterial SSU rRNA". It matches the Rfam family "Bacterial small subunit ribosomal RNA", at positions 521 to 896 of the family's 1533-position model. The record is from RNAcentral. Lineage: Bacteria; Pseudomonadati; Planctomycetota.
UAAUACGAAGGGCCCGAGCGUUAUUCAGAAUCACUGGGCUUAAAGCGUACGUAGGCGGACUUGUAGGCGUUUUGUGAAAUCCCUCGGCUCAACCGAGGAAUUGCAGAGCGAACCAUAAGUCUUGAGACAGACAGAGGUCGUCGGAACGAUUGGUGGAGUGGUGAAAUGCGUUGAUAUCAAUCGGAACGCCGAAGGAGAAGUCAGGCGACUGGGUCUGUUCUGACGCUGAGGUACGAAAGCGUGGGUAGCGAACGGGAUUAGAUACCCCGGUAGUCCACGCCGUAAACGAUGUGCACUAGGUCGAGGGCGUUCUGACGCGACUCUCGGCCGAAGCGAAAGUGUUAAGUGCACCGCCUGGGGAGUACGGUCGCAAGGCUA